UAGGGAAUCUUCCGCAAUGGACGCAAGUCUGACGGAGCAACGCCGCGUGAGUGAAGAAGGAUUUCGGUUCGUAAAACUCUGUUGUUAGAGAAGAACAGCGCAUAGAGUAACUGUUAUGCGUGUGACGGUAUCUAAUCAGAAAGCCACGGCUAACUACGUGCCAGCAGCCGCGGUAAUACGUAGGUGGCAAGCGUUGUCCGGAUUUAUCGGGCGUAAAGCGAGCGCAGGCGGUCAAUUAAGUCUGAAGAGAAAGCCCCCGGCUCAACCGGGGAGGGUCAUUGGAAACUGGUUGACUUGAGUGCAGAAGAGGAGAGUGGAAUUCCAUGUGUAGCGGUAAAAUGCGUAGAUAUAUGGAGGAACACCAGUGGCGAAGGCGACUCUCUGGUCUGUAACUGACGCUGAGGCUCGAAAGCGUGGGUAGCAAACAGG
RNAcentral lists this ribosomal RNA (429 nucleotides) under Bacteroidota bacterium. Its description in RNAcentral is "Bacteroidetes bacterium partial 16S ribosomal RNA". It matches the Rfam family "Bacterial small subunit ribosomal RNA", at positions 355 to 776 of the family's 1533-position model. Lineage: Bacteria; Pseudomonadati; Bacteroidota. The record is from RNAcentral.